GGAGGGGGCUGAAGAUACGGGGACUGGGGAAAGGAUAGGGGCCGAGGCAGAAGGAGGGGUACCGGCUGUGGGACACUAAGGGAUGUAAGCUGGGGACACAGCAUAGAAGGGACACGGAGGUCUUGGCAUACUAAGGGUGUAGGCCUAGGGAAGGGGUAGCAGGGAUGGAGACUGGACCCCACAGGGAGGAGAGACACUGAGGCUGUGAGACACGGAGUGUUGAGAUGGAGGCAGUGGGGUCACCAAGGCUUUGGGGGCUCCAAAGGAGUGUCCUCCUAAGUGGGUGGGGAUUUUGGAGGAGGGAGCCGGAUGGAUGAGGGUGAAAAAGGGGUGCCCAGGCAGGUUACUGUGAUGGAGAAGAGUAUGGAGGUCGAGGUAGGAGGCCAGGCCCUAGAUGGGGGAGCGACUGAGACUGGAAGCUGACUUGAGACUCUGGGCAUCUCAGGAGGUCACUGAGGUCGUGGUGGUUGUCACGGAGGCCAAGGGUCACGGAGAAGGUUACAGACCGGAGUGGCCAUGGAGGUGCGGAGCUGGGGUCCUGCUGAGUAGCGGAGGGUGGAAGGAGAUAAUGGUUGGGGGACCCAGGAGUGCAUGGACGCACAGGGUUACUCGAAGGUUUGGGGGUGGCUUCUCCGGAGGCUCUUACAUUGUUUGGGGGCGCUGUUUUUGUACUAAACGCCUGCAGCUGUGCCACGAUGCGACAAACGGCUGCCCCCAUCAGCGCAUAACAGCCUG
Molecule: long non-coding RNA, 735 nt
Filed under: Rattus norvegicus (Norway rat)
Lineage: Eukaryota; Metazoa; Chordata; Mammalia; Rodentia; Muridae
Description: long non-coding RNA NONRATT005135
Source: RNAcentral